UUUAAAGUCUAACCUGCCCGAUGAGUAUUUUAAUGGCCGCGGUAUAUUGACCGUGCAAAGGUAGCAUAAUAAUUUGUUUUUUAAUUGGAAGCUGGAAUGAAUGGUUGGACGAGAAAUUUACUGUCUCUGGUUAAUUUUAUUAGAAUUUUAUUUUUAAGUAAAAAAGCUUAAAUUUUUUUAAAAGACGAGAAGACCCUAUAGAGUUUUAUAAGUUAUUUUAUUAAUUUUUGNGGUAUUAUUUAUUUUUUUAUUAUUUUAUUUAUUUUGUUGGGGUGAUGGGAAAAUUUGAUUAACUUUUUUCUUUGUUUUCAUUUAUUUAUGGUUUUUUGGUCCGUUACUUACGAUUAUGAGAUUAAAUUACCUUAGGGANAACAGCGUAAUUUUUUUUUAGAGUUCUUAUUGAGAGAAAAGUUUGCGACCUCGAUGUUGGAUUAAAAUUAAUUCUUGGUGUAGAAGCUUGGAUAUUGGGUCUGUUCGACCUUUGAAAUUUUACA
This 494-nucleotide ribosomal RNA is filed under the name Camenta sp. DA0779. RNAcentral describes it as "partial 16S large subunit ribosomal RNA". It matches the Rfam family "Bacterial large subunit ribosomal RNA", at positions 1844 to 2600 of the family's 2925-position model. Lineage: Eukaryota; Metazoa; Arthropoda; Insecta; Coleoptera; Scarabaeidae. The record is from RNAcentral.